AUUUCGUUGGGGGAAGUAUUGAUAGGUACCGAAAGGCAUAUUACCGUAAGAGGAGGGGUAAAGAAUCAAAGGAAGAGAGUGAGGAAGUAACAGAAGAGGAGGGAACAGAAGAAGAAUAAAAGAAACCUUUGGAUUGAAAGAGAGUAUUUGCAGUUAUUCAUUUCAUAUCGUUAGACGAUAUUAAAUAAGGAGUAUAGUGUUCAUUGGAAAGGUAUGCUUUUGUAUGUGAUUGUAGAGAGACGAUAUG
RNAcentral lists this long non-coding RNA (247 nucleotides) under Brassica napus (rape). RNAcentral describes it as "long non-coding RNA (BNAP_LNC012959)". The record is from RNAcentral. Lineage: Eukaryota; Viridiplantae; Streptophyta; Magnoliopsida; Brassicales; Brassicaceae.